RNAcentral lists this non-coding RNA (29 nucleotides) under Mus musculus (house mouse). The record is from RNAcentral. Lineage: Eukaryota; Metazoa; Chordata; Mammalia; Rodentia; Muridae.
UGUAUUCUUGGCCAACCUCAAUCUCGCUA